ACACACACACACACACACACACACACACACCACUGCACAUGGAGGAAAUGUAGUCCCUAUAUAAACCUGUUGGCUAUUGCAUGUUAGUGGUUACUUCUGUAGUACUCAAACAACUUUACCUCUAUGUAUUUUGAACUCUCUAUUAUCCCUCCUUUUUUAUUUCGAGUAGAAACUACCCUGCAAGCUCACCCUUUAUCUUGGAAUGCCUAUAUAAGAGUCUGGUCUGUAUACCAUGUUCUGCGAUCACUAAAGUGAGCUUCCGUGAGGUGUAAUUAAAUGCACACCGGGAGAAAGGCUUCAACAGUGAAGAGCUGUGAAGACAAGAAAUUGAGGAAUCAUACGAGUGUUGGCACUCUCCUGACCCUAUGGCAGACACUAUGAUUAGCCCUGUCUCAGCAGAGGACGUGAACAUAGACAGCCAAGAUGAAAAUCUAGAGUCUGUCUCCAGAAGCCACCCCCGAGCUGCCCUUUGCCAGGGCAGGUGGUGCUCACCUGUUCAGGUUUAUGCUGCUGUACAGUAUUGUAAAUGUAGCUCAAGCCAACACGAGUCAAAACGUAAGAGGCUUGCUCAUUUAUAAGAGUGUCCAAAUGGGCUUCAAUCUAAAAUAAAAUGCAGCAGGAAAAGCA
Peromyscus eremicus (cactus mouse) is the source of this 627-nucleotide long non-coding RNA. RefSeq lists it as uncharacterized. The transcript is spliced from 3 exons. NCBI's taxonomy places the organism in Eukaryota, Metazoa, Chordata, Mammalia, Rodentia, Cricetidae. The record is from RefSeq and is a predicted model, not a curated record.